UAGCCGUAAACGAUACUCGCUAGGUGUCGGCCACGGUGCGACCGUUGUCGGUGCCGUAGGGAAGCCGUGAAGCGAGCCACCUGGGAAGUACGGCCGCAAGGCUGAAACUUAAAGGAAUUGGCGGGGGAGCACCACAACGGGUGGAGCUUGCGGUUUAAUUUGGAUUCAACGCCGGAAAUACUUACCGGGACCGGACAGCAACAUGAAGGCCAGGCUGAAGACUUUGCCGGAUUAGCUGAGAGGAGGUGCAUGGCGUAGUCGUGU
Molecule: ribosomal RNA, 264 nt
Filed under: uncultured archaeon
Lineage: Archaea
Description: partial 16S ribosomal RNA
Rfam family: Archaeal small subunit ribosomal RNA
Source: RNAcentral